AGUCUUCCAUAUGUUAUCAUUUCUUCGAAUGAUCUGACCUGCUCAAGUCCUCUUCUUAUUCUUGAUCGGCAGUAAUACUUUCAUCUUUCUGCCUCCCCACCCAGCAUCCAUCUGGUGGUGCCUGAGGACCGUGCGUGGGGCAGCCCGCUGCCUAAUGGGAGUGUGAAUGGUAUGGUAGGUCUUGUGGCGCAUCGCCUGGCCCACGUCGCUCUCAAUGAACUCACUAUCACAGAGCUGCGGACGACUGUGGUGGACUUCACGCAGCCGUAUGUGCAGGAGGGAACAGCACUCAUCUCUCGUGCACCUAAAGAGCAGGAGAAGUUAUUGGCGGUCUUCUCACCCUUUUCUCUGGCGCUGUGGGCGGUGCUGUUCAUGGUCACUCUACUGAUGGGCAUCCUGAGCUUCCUGUUGAGUCUUGGCCAUGACUGCUGCACCACUGCCGUGCCUCCUCCCUGUACCACCCCUCCGAAGGCAGACCAGGAUCAGCUUCCUGCCCUCUGCUCUGCUCAAGUAGUAUCACUUUCAAUAUGCAAAACAAAGAAUGCAUCAUGUGACAGAAAUAUGGUUAGUAAUGUGGCAACUUGCUCAUGUAGAAAGACAUGUGAUCGGACACAGAUGCCAGAAAAAGACAAGUGAUCGGACACAGAUGCCGGAAAGAACACUAUCCAAAUAUUGUUUCAACAUCUUCCGUACUCUUGUGCUCCAAGGAAACUUGA
This is a long non-coding RNA of Eriocheir sinensis (Chinese mitten crab), 716 nucleotides long. RefSeq lists it as uncharacterized. NCBI's taxonomy places the organism in Eukaryota, Metazoa, Arthropoda, Malacostraca, Decapoda, Varunidae. The transcript is spliced from 3 exons. The record is from RefSeq and is a predicted model, not a curated record.